Etheostoma cragini (Arkansas darter) is the source of this 1421-nucleotide RNA transcript. It is a transcript of the gene named small nuclear ribonucleoprotein 48 (U11/U12), with no coding region annotated. The transcript is spliced from 10 exons. Lineage: Eukaryota; Metazoa; Chordata; Actinopteri; Perciformes; Percidae. The record is from RefSeq and is a predicted model, not a curated record.
GCGCAAACGCCCCGUGGAACGUCAUAGCCUCGCGCAGAAUAUGGCUGCCGCAAGUACAGCAAAAACACAACACCGAUGAUUUUGGGACAAAUUAUCAUCUGAUUUUGACUUAAAACCCCAAAAUGUCGGACUCAUUAAAGACGCAGACGCUUCAUGAUCGACUGGACCGUCUACAGGAGCUCGAGGAGUUCACAGAAAACUGCAAAAAGCAGUUAGACGAUAUAUUUGAAACGCUGGGAUGGUCGCGCGACAACACCAAACAGGAAGCAACGGAGCAGUGUCCCUACGACCCCAACCACAGAGUCCCCGUGAGGAGCAUGGAGAAACACAAAGCCUCCUGCAGCCGCCGCAAGAUGGGCUACUCCGCCGAGGAGGAGGCGGAGAUGUUCGACCCUUCUGUGUGUUAUGAGAACAGCGGUGUCAGAAGCUUUACAAUGGACAAAUCCACCCAGCACCAGGUGAUCCUGCAGGCCAGAUCUGCUGCACCGCUGAUGAGGAUGGAGGGGGUCUUCUGGCAAGGUCAGUACUCCGGCCAGCCCGUCGACGUGCCUGAGAACCACAAGCGUGCGGUGUGUGACCUCACUGUGGCCGACCGGCUCGCUCUGUACGAUCACGUGGUCGGCGUCCUCAACCAGCAGAAGGAAGCGGCGUCCUCCAGCAACGACGAUCUCUACGUAGACCUGGUGUCCAAACUCCAGAAGGACGACCAACAGAAUGAACCAAAGACUCACCUGGAGCUGAUGGCAGAGAUGAGGGACUACAAGAGGCGGCGGCAGUCUUACCGGGCCAAGAACGUGCACAUCACCAAGAAGUCCUACACUGAGGUGAUCAGAGAGGUGAUCAACGUCCACUCACAGGAGCUCACCAGACAGUGGAGAGAAGAAGAAGAAGAAGAAGAGUCGACGAGAUCUGAACUGUCCUCUCAAAGGCGUCGGCUGGACGAGAGGCGCUCGGCGUCGUCGGAGUCUCGCCACUCGCACGGCAGACGCCAUCGCAGCCGAGAGCGAAGCCAAGACAGAGAGAGCAAGAAGAAGAGGAAGAAGAGGGAGAGGGAUUCCCGGUCUCCUGAUGACCACCACCACCACCACAAGAAGAAGAAGAAGAAGAGGAAAGAGGAGAAGGAGAAGUGAUGCUGCUGGAAGAGCAGCAACCAAUCAGACGAGGUCUAAGGUCAUUGUGGCUCCGGCGGGUCAGAAGAUCUCAGGUAUUUCUCACCCUGUUGAGACGCAGAGAUAGACGAAGAGAAGAAGAAGAACAACAGGAAAAAGUAGGAGAGGAUCCCGUCAGUGCCUGGGAACCUGAGGGAUCCUGGAGGGACAGAGAGGAGACAGAGACAGGACAGGGGGGACCAUCGGGGUGAUAAUGCUGUGAGGAGAGCUGCUCAGGGAAAGCUAAACCAGGUUGUUCCUUUAUCCUCGUCU